Long non-coding RNA from Lycium barbarum (goji berry), 1399 nucleotides. RefSeq lists it as uncharacterized. The transcript is spliced from 3 exons. The record is from RefSeq and is a predicted model, not a curated record. NCBI's taxonomy places the organism in Eukaryota, Viridiplantae, Streptophyta, Magnoliopsida, Solanales, Solanaceae.
CUUCCACCGACAUAACCACUUUUGUCAUCUUCAUCGUCUCAUUAUAUAAAGUCGUCAUCGUUUUGUCCAUUUGAUCGAUGUCUCUCCUCAUCUACGUUCUUCAGAGUUGAUAUCUUGCAAUUUUGCUUUCUUUCUAUUUUUAAUGAUUCACUUCUUUCCUCUGCGCUACAUAUACUACCGACAUAGUCUAUUUUCUCCCUUUCAUUCCCUUCCUCAGCAACAUUGUAAAAAUGCUUUUUUCUAUUUUGCUUACCUAUAUACGUUGUCAUAGCUAUAAAAUAUCCGUCCUCAAAACAAAAACAGUUUGGGAUGAUGAACUGUCCUAAGAAGUGUUAUAUCCCGUAUUUUUGAACGUCGGAUUAUUUGUAAGCUGAGGUGGGGCCCACACGUCAAGAUUUUUUUUUUUUUUGAAACAUGUGACAAGUUAUAUGAAUCACAUAUGUAAAGUUAAACACAACUCAUGAAGGACCCUUGGGCCAAAUCAAAGUGGAAGUCCUCCAAACGAAUAUUUUUAAGAAAACGUUUUCGGGUGACCUGAAUUUGGGGGGCAAAAACGGUAUUAUAAGUUUGGAAUUUGGAAAUAUAACAAGAAAUAGAAGUUGUAGAUAAUUGAAUUAGCUUUCCAACCAUAGGUCGUGGGUCCCCAGGUGACGUCCGUACAAGGAGAUAUGGACGUUUUAAGGUCGAACGGUCAGUGGGCUAGAUCCAACUCGGGACCAACCGGGUUGGCCCAAAAAAAAAUGAAGAGAAAAAUCAGGCCCAAGUGAGGAGGUGGCCGGCCAUGGUCCUUAAUAAAGGACCCAAGCCCAUUUAAAUUAGUCAUGUGAUUAAUAAUAAAAGGGGCUAAGUCUUCAUUUUCAACCAAGAACAUUCUUGAAGCAAAGAACAAAAGAGAAUAAGAGCAAAGAAAAACAUGGCAUACGGCCAUGACCCCCAAAUUUUAGCUCCUUAAAAUCUUCCUCCAAAAAUUAUUUUCUUGUGGUAUUCCCACUAAUUCAAGGGUCAUUUACAACUUGGUGUAAUUAUUUUGGAAGAAAUAGCACUUGUUUCUUCAAGUUGACAACUUGGUCAAGUGAAGAAGAUUGUAGAAAAAGAUUUUGAAGGAAACGAGAAUUGAAUUUGAAAUAGCAUAAGGAGCGGAAAGAGGUCAGCAGGUAGACAGAUUUGACUCCCAGGAGCUCCAUCAGCAGUACUGCGGCAGCGCUCCAGUUGUUUCGGAGCCUCAGUUUCUUAGUACUACUUUUGUGUAUAUAUUCGGGCACGGUAGGACCCGGCCCUUCUUGUAUAUGUAGAUGUACUUCGUUUAGAGGCUCGUAGACAGAUAUGUACAGUCAGAUGUUUUGUACUUUUGUUGUCCUCGUCGUUGUAUAAUGUGCUAGCAAAAUUUGUAAGUCCAUGU